RNAcentral lists this ribosomal RNA (497 nucleotides) under uncultured bacterium. RNAcentral describes it as "partial 16S ribosomal RNA". It matches the Rfam family "Bacterial small subunit ribosomal RNA", at positions 28 to 507 of the family's 1533-position model. The record is from RNAcentral.
GAUGAACGCUGGCGGCGUGCCUAAUACAUGCAAGUCGAGCGAACAGACGAGGAGCUUGCUCCUUUGAUGUUAGCGGCGGACGGGUGAGUAACACGUAGGUCCCCUCCAUAUAACACUGGGAUCACUUCGGGAACCCGGCGCUAAUCCCGGAUAAUAUUUAGCACCGCAUGUUUCGAUAGUGAAACAUGGCUUUGCUAUCAUUUAUAGAUGUCCCUGCGCCGUAUUAGCUAGUUGGUAAGGUAACGGCUUACCAAGGCAACGCUACGUAGCCGACCUGAGAGGGUGAUCGGCCACACUGGAACUGAGACACGGUCCAGACUCCUACGGGAGGCAGCAGUAGGGAAUCUUCCGCAAUGGGCGAAAGCCUGACGGAGCAACGCCGCGUGAGUGAUGAAGGUCUUCGGAUCGUAAAACUCUGUUAUUAGGGAAGAACAAACGUGUAAGUAACUAUGCACGUCUUGACGGUACCUAAUCAGAAAGCCACGGCUAACUACGUG